ACUCCUACGGGAGGCAGCAGUUAGGAAUAUUCGGCAAUGGGGGAAACCCUGACCGAGCGACACUGCGUGAAGGAGGAAGGCCUUAGGGUUGUAAACUUCUGAACGAGAGACGAUAAUGACGGUACCUAGUAAAGAAGCCCGGCUAACUUCGUGCCAGCAGCCGCGGUAAUACGUAGGGUGCAAGCGUUGUCCGGAAUUAUUGGGCGUAAAGAGCUCGUAGGCGGUUUGUCACGUCUGCUGUGAAAAUCCAAGGCUCAACCUUGGACUUGCAGUGGGUACGGGCAGGCUAGAGUGCGGUAGGGGAGAUGGGAAUUCCUGGUGUAGCGGUGGAAUGCGCAGAUAUCAGGAGGAACACCAAUGGCGAAGGCACAUCUCUGGGCCGUAACUGACGCUGAGGAGCGAAAGCGUGGGGAGCGAACAGGAUUAGAUACCCUGG
RNAcentral lists this ribosomal RNA (436 nucleotides) under uncultured bacterium. Its description in RNAcentral is "bacterial SSU rRNA". It matches the Rfam family "Bacterial small subunit ribosomal RNA", at positions 335 to 790 of the family's 1533-position model. The record is from RNAcentral.